RNAcentral lists this ribosomal RNA (270 nucleotides) under uncultured soil bacterium. RNAcentral describes it as "partial 16S ribosomal RNA". It matches the Rfam family "Bacterial small subunit ribosomal RNA", at positions 26 to 281 of the family's 1533-position model. The record is from RNAcentral.
AGAAUCCACGCUGGCGGCGUGCCUAACACAUGCAAGUCGAACGCGAAAGGGGAGCAAUCCCUGAGUAGAGUGGCAAACGGGUGAGUAACACGUGGGUGACCUGCCUUCGAGUGGGGGAUAACGUCCCGAAAGGGACGCUAAUACCGCAUGACAUCCUGCUCUUGGACGAGCGGAGAUCAAAGCUGGGGAUUCGCAAGAACCUGGCGCUUGAAGAGGGGCCCGCGCCUGAUUAGCUAGUUGGUGAGGUAACGGCUCACCAAGGCUACGAUC